AUUGAACGCUGGCGGCAGGCCUAACACAUGCAAGUCGAACGGUAACAGGAAGCAGCUUGCUGCUUUGCUGACGAGUGGCGGACGGGUGAGUAAUGUCUGGGAAACUGCCCGAUGGCGGGGGAUAACUACUGGAAACGGUAGCUAAUACCGCAUAACGUCGCAAGACCAAAGAGGGGGACCUUAGGGCCUCUUGCCAUCGGGUGUGCCCAGAUGGGAUUAGCUAGUAGGUGGGGUAACGGCUCACCUAGGCGACGAUCCCUAGCUGGUCUGAGAGGAUGACCAGCCACACUGGAACUGAGACACGGUCCAGACUCCUACGGGAGGCAGCAGUGGGGAAUAUUGCACAAUGGGCGCAAGCCUGAUGCAGCCAUGCCGCGUGUAUGAAGAAGGCCUUCGGGUUGUAAAGUACUUUCAGCGGGGAGGAAGGGAGUAAAGUUAAUACCUUUGCUCAUUGACGUUACCCGCAGAAGAAGCACCGGCUAACUCCGUG
Molecule: ribosomal RNA, 490 nt
Filed under: uncultured bacterium
Lineage: Bacteria
Description: partial 16S ribosomal RNA
Rfam family: Bacterial small subunit ribosomal RNA
Source: RNAcentral